Camelus ferus (Wild Bactrian camel) is the source of this 73-nucleotide transfer RNA. It matches the Rfam family "tRNA". Rfam says of the family: Transfer RNA (tRNA) molecules are approximately 80 nucleotides in length. Their secondary structure includes four short double-helical elements and three loops (D, anti-codon, and T loops). The record is from Rfam. NCBI's taxonomy places the organism in Eukaryota, Metazoa, Chordata, Mammalia, Artiodactyla, Camelidae.
GAGGGUAUAGCUCAAGUGGUAGAGUGCAUGCUUGGCACGCACAAGGUCCUGGAUUCAAUUCCCAGUACCUCCU